AGAGGGUGCGAGCGUUGUCCGGAAUUACUGGGCGUAAAGGGCGCGUAGGCGGUCCGAUAAGUAAGGGGUGAAAUCUCACGGCUCAACCGGGAGGCUGCCUUCUAGACUGUCAGACUUGAGCACGGUAGAGGCAGAUGGAAUUCCCGGUGUAGCGGUGGAAUGCGUAGAGAUCGGGAAGAACACCAGUGGCGAAGGCGGUCUGCUGGGCCGUUGCUGACGCUGAGGCGCGACAGCGUGGGGAGCAAACAGGAUUAGAUACCCUGGUAGUCCACGCCGUAAACGAUGGGCACUAGGCGUCGGGGGGAGCGACCCUCCCGGUGCCGUCGCUAACGCUGUAAGUGCCCCGCCUGGGGAGUACGGCCGCAAGGCUG
This 371-nucleotide ribosomal RNA is filed under the name uncultured bacterium. RNAcentral describes it as "bacterial SSU rRNA". It matches the Rfam family "Bacterial small subunit ribosomal RNA", at positions 527 to 896 of the family's 1533-position model. The record is from RNAcentral.